Molecule: long non-coding RNA, 327 nt
Filed under: Capsicum annuum
Lineage: Eukaryota; Viridiplantae; Streptophyta; Magnoliopsida; Solanales; Solanaceae
Description: long non-coding RNA (CANN_LNC020350)
Source: RNAcentral
AUAUGGCAGAAUACUUCUUCCAUAAAGUGAAGAUUCAUUAUUCACUUUUUUUUCAUGUUUGUCCCUCUAUUUUCCAUUCACAUUUUAUCAACAAAACCCUACAAUUACCACUAGACAUUAAUUUGUUCAUCCUUAAUAUAUAAGAGGUCUCAAGUUUAAAUCGUGUCCUUGUAGAGGACAAUUUCCCUUUAAUUGCCCUUACACUGCUAAUCUGAUCAAUUCGUUGUGGCCCAACACGAAUACUAAACUCUAAGGAAAACAAGAAAAGAAGUAUGAAUUGUACCAAGUUAAACUAGGAUACUAGCAAAAAUGUGAUUGAUCGACAUG